RNAcentral lists this ribosomal RNA (490 nucleotides) under uncultured bacterium. RNAcentral's name for it is "partial 16S ribosomal RNA". It matches the Rfam family "Bacterial small subunit ribosomal RNA", at positions 30 to 507 of the family's 1533-position model. The record is from RNAcentral.
AUUGAACGCUGGCGGCAGGCCUAACACAUGCAAGUCGAACGGUAACAGGAAGCAGCUUGCUGCUUCGCUGACGAGUGGCGGACGGGUGAGUAAUGUCUGGGAAGCUGCCUGAUGGAGGAGGAUAACUACUGGAAACGGUAGCUAAUACCGCAUAAUGUCGCAAGACCAAAGAGGGGGACCUUCGGGCCUCUUGCCAUCGGAUGUGCCCAGAUGGGAUUAGCUUGUUGGUGGGGUAACGGCUCACCAAGGCGACGAUCCCUAGCUGGUCUGAGAGGAUGACCAGCCACACUGGAACUGAGACACGGUCCAGACUCCUACGGGAGGCAGCAGUGGGGAAUAUUGCACAAUGGGCGCAAGCCUGAUGCAGCCAUGCCGCGUGUAUGAAGAAGGCCUUCGGGUUGUAAAGUACUUUCAGCGGGGAGGAAGGGAGUAAAGUUAAUACCUUUGCUCAUUGACGUUACCCGCAGAAGAAGCACCGGCUAACUCCGUG